Long non-coding RNA from Hibiscus syriacus, 195 nucleotides. RefSeq lists it as uncharacterized. The record is from RefSeq and is a predicted model, not a curated record. Lineage: Eukaryota; Viridiplantae; Streptophyta; Magnoliopsida; Malvales; Malvaceae. The transcript has 3 exons.
GAUAAAUAUGGAAAAAGCACAUUAAAGAAGAGAGAAAGAAAGAACCUGUCGCAUAGGAAGACCAAGAAUGUUAAAUGUAACAGGUCCAGCUCCAUUCCUGUCCUUUGGAUGAUGAUAUUUACAUGUGGAUCCAUAUUUGCAAGCUCCUGUCUUUAAAAAGUACUGCAAAGGAGGUUAAUGAAAACUACAAAAUUA